GUGCCAGCAGCCGCGGUAAGACAGAGGGUGCAAACGUUGCUCGGAAUUACUGGGCGUAAAGCGCAUGUAGGCGGCUCCGUAAGUCGGAUGUGAAAGCCCUCGGCUUAACCGAGGAAGUGCAUUCGAUACUGCAGAGCUAGAGUACCGGAGAGGGUCGUGGAAUUCCUGGUGUAGAGGUGAAAUUCGUAGAUAUCAGGAGGAACACCGGCGGCGAAGGCGGCGACCUGGACGGAUACUGACGCUCAGAUGCGAAAGCGUGGGUAGCAAACAGGAUUAGAAACCCCCGUAGUCC
This 292-nucleotide ribosomal RNA is filed under the name uncultured bacterium. RNAcentral describes it as "partial 16S ribosomal RNA". It matches the Rfam family "Bacterial small subunit ribosomal RNA", at positions 505 to 796 of the family's 1533-position model. The record is from RNAcentral.